AGAUUGAACGCUGGCGGCAGGCCUAACACAUGCAAGUCGAGCGGCAGCACGGGUACUUGUACCUGGUGGCGAGCGGCGGACGGGUGAGUAAUGCCUAGGAAUCUGCCUGGUAGUGGGGGAUAACGCUCGGAAACGGACGCUAAUACCGCAUACGUCCUACGGGAGAAAGCAGGGGACCUUCGGGCCUUGCGCUAUCAGAUGAGCCUAGGUCGGAUUAGCUAGUUGGUGAGGUAAUGGCUCACCAAGGCGACGAUCCGUAACUGGUCUGAGAGGAUGAUCAGUCACACUGGAACUGAGACACGGUCCAGACUCCGUACGGGAGGCAGCAGGUGGGAAUAGUUGGACAAGUGGGACGAAAGCCUGACUACCAGCCAUCGCCGCGUGUGUGAAGAAGUCUUCGGAUUGAAAGCUAACGUUUAAGUUGGAAGGAAGGCAAGUUACCUAAUACGUAUUCUUAGUUUCG
RNAcentral lists this ribosomal RNA (463 nucleotides) under uncultured soil bacterium. RNAcentral describes it as "bacterial SSU rRNA". It matches the Rfam family "Bacterial small subunit ribosomal RNA", at positions 26 to 474 of the family's 1533-position model. The record is from RNAcentral.